Molecule: ribosomal RNA, 1040 nt
Filed under: Bacillus sp. (in: firmicutes)
Lineage: Bacteria; Bacillati; Bacillota; Bacilli; Caryophanales; Bacillaceae
Description: bacterial SSU rRNA
Rfam family: Bacterial small subunit ribosomal RNA
Source: RNAcentral
GGAUGUUAGCGGCGGACGGGUGAGUAACACGUGGGUAACCUGCCUGUAAGACUGGGAUAACUCCGGGAAACCGGAGCUAAUACCGGAUAGUUCCUUGAACCGCAUGGUUCAAGGAUGAAAGACGGUUUCGGCUGUCACUUACAGAUGGACCCGCGGCGCAUUAGCUAGUUGGUGAGGUAACGGCUCACCAAGGCGACGAUGCGUAGCCGACCUGAGAGGGUGAUCGGCCACACUGGGACUGAGACACGGCCCAGACUCCUACGGGAGGCAGCAGUAGGGAAUCUUCCGCAAUGGACGAAAGUCUGACGGAGCAACGCCGCGUGAGUGAUGAAGGUUUUCGGAUCGUAAAGCUCUGUUGUUAGGGAAGAACAAGUGCAAGAGUAACUGCUUGCACCUUGACGGUACCUAACCAGAAAGCCACGGCUAACUACGUGCCAGCAGCCGCGGUAAUACGUAGGUGGCAAGCGUUGUCCGGAAUUAUUGGGCGUAAAGGGCUCGCAGGCGGUUUCUUAAGUCUGAUGUGAAAGCCCCCGGCUCAACCGGGGAGGGUCAUUGGAAACUGGGAAACUUGAGUGCAGAAUAGGAGAGUGAAAUUCCACGUGUACCGGUGAAAUGCUUAGAGAUGUGGAGGAACACCAGUGGCGAAGGCGACUCUCUGGUCUGUAACUGACGCUGAGGAGCGAAAGCGUGGGGAGCGAACAGGAUUAGAUACCCUGGUAGUCCACGCCGUAAACGAUGAGUGCUAAGUGUUAGGGGGUUUCCGCCCCUUAGUGCUGCAGCUAACGCAUUAAGCACUCCGCCUGGGGAGUACGGUCGCAAGACUGAAACUCAAAGGAAUUGACGGGGGCCCGCACAAGCGGUGGAGCAUGUGGUUUAAUUCGAAGCAACGCGAAGAACCUUACCAGGUCUUGACAUCCUCUGACAACCCUAGAGAUAGGGCUUUCCCUUCGGGGACAGAGUGACAGGUGGUGCAUGGUUGUCGUCAGCUCGUGUCGUGAGAUGUUGGGUUAAGUCCCGCAACGAGCGCAACCCUUGAUCUU